RNAcentral lists this ribosomal RNA (541 nucleotides) under uncultured Bacteroidota bacterium. Its description in RNAcentral is "bacterial SSU rRNA". It matches the Rfam family "Bacterial small subunit ribosomal RNA", at positions 374 to 917 of the family's 1533-position model. The record is from RNAcentral. Lineage: Bacteria; Pseudomonadati; Bacteroidota.
CUCGAGAGUCUGACAGCCAUGCCGCGUGCAGGAUGACUGCCCUAUGGGUUGUAAACUGCUUUUAUAUGGGAAUAAACCCCCGCUCGUGAGCGGGGCUGAAGGUACCAUACGAAUAAGGAUCGGCUAACUCCGUGCCAGCAGCCGCGGUAAUACGGAGGAUCCAAGCGUUAUCCGGAUUUAUUGGGUUUAAAGGGUCCGUAGGCGGGAUAUUAAGUCAGUGGUGAAAGCCUACAGCUCAACUGUAGCACUGCCAUUGAUACUGGUAUUCUUGAGUAUAGUUGAAGUGGGCGGAAUAAGUCAUGUAGCGGUGAAAUGCAUAGAUAUGACUUAGAACACCGAUUGCGAAGGCAGCUCACUAAGCUAUCACUGACGCUGAGGGACGAAAGCGUGGGUAGCAAACAGGAUUAGAUACCCUGGUAGUCCACGCUGUAAACGAUGAUCACUCGCUGUUGGCGAUAUACUGUCAGCGGCCAAGCGAAAGCAUUAAGUGAUCCACCUGGGGAGUACGCUCGCAAGAGUGAAACUCAAAGGAAUUGACGGA